UCUACGGGUGGCUGCAGUGGGGAAUAUUGGACAAUGGGCGAAAGCCUGAUCCAGCCAUGCCGCGUGUGUGAAGAAGGCCUUCGGGUUGUAAAGCACUUUCAGUGGGGAAGAAAGCCUUGGGGCUAAUACCCUCGAGGAAGGACAUCACCCACAGAAGAAGCACCGGCUAACUCCGUGCCAGCAGCCGCGGUAAUACGGAGGGUGCGAGCGUUAAUCGGAAUUACUGGGCGUAAAGCGCGCGUAGGCGGUCUGAUAAGCCGGUUGUGAAAGCCCCGGGCUCAACCUGGGAACGGCAUCCGGAACUGUCAGGCUAGAGUGCAGGAGAGGAAGGUAGAAUUCCCGGUGUAGCGGUGAAAUGCGUAGAGAUCGGGAGGAAUACCAGUGGCGAAGGCGGCCUUCUGGACUGACACUGACGCUGAGGUGCGAAAGCGUGGGUAGCAAACAGGAUUAGAUACCCCAGUAGUC
Molecule: ribosomal RNA, 465 nt
Filed under: Vreelandella stevensii
Lineage: Bacteria; Pseudomonadati; Pseudomonadota; Gammaproteobacteria; Oceanospirillales; Halomonadaceae
Description: partial 16S ribosomal RNA
Rfam family: Bacterial small subunit ribosomal RNA
Source: RNAcentral